Phacochoerus africanus (Common warthog) is the source of this 324-nucleotide long non-coding RNA. RefSeq lists it as uncharacterized. The transcript has 3 exons. Lineage: Eukaryota; Metazoa; Chordata; Mammalia; Artiodactyla; Suidae. The record is from RefSeq and is a predicted model, not a curated record.
GGAAAGGAGGAGAGACCUACAUUUAAAAAGGCAGGAACCAGCCUAACGCGGAGAUCCAAAAAUGCCCGGGGAAACCUCCAAUCACUGUGAACACGUUUAAAAGACAUAAUCAGGGGAGCCAAGAUGGAAAUGGGCAAAGUGGUGCUCUCUGCAGAUGGUUCAGGCACGCCACCACCAACCUGGACAAUGAUUAACCGGGGAAGGAUAAUCUCAGUCCGUGGGGUAGCGGUGAUCUCUACAGGAGGCUGGUUCUCACGCAGCCCGAGAGCCCUUUGCUCCUGACUGAUCCUUUCUCUCUCCCUGUCUUGUAUUUUCUCUUUCUCU